AAAACAUCGCCUCCUGCAUAACAUAGGAGGUCCAGCCUGCCCAGUGACAAAGUUUAACGGCCGCGGUACCCUAACCGUGCGAAGGUAGCGCAAUCACUUGUUCUUUAAAUGGGGACUAGUAUGAAAGGCAUCACGAGGGUCUCACUGUCUCCCUCUUUCAAUCAGUGAAACUGAUCUCCCCGUGAAGAAGCGGGGAUAAAACUAUAAGACGAGAAGACCCCAUGGAGCUUUAAACUCAAUAUUAACUGCCAAAGUACACACCAAGUCAAACAGGCAGAACUAACUAUUAGUUUUCGGUUGGGGUGACCACGGAGCAAAAUAAAACCUCCAUGAUGAAUGACUUACUCUAAUCUAAGAGCCACAGCUCAAAGAAUCAAUAAAUUGACAUAAUUUGAUCCAAAUAUUUUGAUCAACGAACCAAGUUACCCUGGGGAUAACAGCGCAAUCCAUUUCAAGAGCUCCUAUCGACAAAUGGGUUUACGACCUCGAUGUUGGAUCAGGGUAUCCUAGUGGUGCAGCCGCUACUAAAGGUUCGUUUGUUCAACGAUUAAAACCCUACGUGAUCUGAG
RNAcentral lists this ribosomal RNA (569 nucleotides) under Dasypops schirchi (Rio Mutum frog). RNAcentral describes it as "partial 16S ribosomal RNA". It matches the Rfam family "Bacterial large subunit ribosomal RNA", at positions 1810 to 2609 of the family's 2925-position model. The record is from RNAcentral. Lineage: Eukaryota; Metazoa; Chordata; Amphibia; Anura; Microhylidae.